UGAAGCGGCAAAAGCUCAAAUUUGAAAUCCCCCGGGAAUUGUAAUUUGAAGAGAUUUGGGUCCGGCCGGCAGGGGUUAAGUCCACUGGAAAGUGGCGCCACAGAGGGUGACAGCCCCGUGAACCCCUUUAACGCCUUCAUCCCAGAUCUCCAAGAGUCGAGUUGUUUGGGAAUGCAGCUCUAAGUGGGUGGUAAAUUCCAUCUAAAGCUAAAUACCGGCGAGAGACCGAUAGCGAACAAGUACAGUGAUGGAAAGAUGAAAAGCACUUUGAAAAGAGAGUGAAAAAGUACGUGAAAUUGUUGAAAGGGAAGGGCUUGCAAGCAGACACUUAACUGGGCCAGCAUCGGGGCGGCGGGAAACAAAACCACCGGGGAAUGUACCUUUCGAGGAUUAUAACCCCGGUCUCUAUUUCCUUGUUGCCCCGAGGCCUGCAAUCUAAGGAUGCUGGCGUAAUGGUUGCAAGUCGCCCGUCUUGAAC
Molecule: ribosomal RNA, 478 nt
Filed under: Metschnikowia pulcherrima
Lineage: Eukaryota; Fungi; Ascomycota; Pichiomycetes; Serinales; Metschnikowiaceae
Description: partial large subunit ribosomal RNA
Rfam family: Eukaryotic large subunit ribosomal RNA
Source: RNAcentral